GUGGAUUAGAUACCCUGGUAGUCCACGCCCUAAACGAUGCAUAUUUGGUGUGGGCAGUUCAUUCUGUCCGUGCCGGAGCUAACGCGUUAAAUAUGCCGCCUGGGGAGUACAGUCGCAAGGCUGAAACUCAAAGGAAUUGACGGGGGCCCGCACAAGCGGUGGAGCAUGUGGUUCAAUUCGACGCAACGCGAAGAACCUUACCUGGGCUCGAACGGCUGGUCAACGGCGGUGGAAACAUCGCUAUCCCGCAAGGGGGUCCAGUCGAGGUGCUGCAUGGUCGUCGUCAGCU
This 289-nucleotide ribosomal RNA is filed under the name uncultured bacterium. RNAcentral describes it as "partial 16S ribosomal RNA". It matches the Rfam family "Bacterial small subunit ribosomal RNA", at positions 773 to 1060 of the family's 1533-position model. The record is from RNAcentral.